GAUGAACGCUGGCGGCGUGCCUAAUACAUGCAAGUCGAGCGAACGGACGAGAAGCUUGCUUCUCUGAUGUUAGCGGCGGACGGGUGAGUAACACGUGGAUAACCUACCUAUAAGACUGGGAUAACUUCGGGAAACCGGAGCUAAUACCGGAUGAUAUUUUGAACCGCAUGGUUCAAAAGUGAAAGACGGUCUUGCUGUCACUUAUAGAUGGAUCCGCGCUGCAUUAGCUAGUUGGUAAGGUAAUGGCUUACCAAGGCAACGAUGCAUAGCCGACCUGAGAGGGUGAUCGGCCACACUGGAACUGAGACACGGUCCAGACUCCUACGGGAGGCAGCAGUAGGGAAUCUUCCACAAAGGGCGAAAGCCUGACGGAGCAACGCCGCGUGAGUGAUGAAGGUCUUCGGAUCGUAAAACUCUGUUAUUAGGGAAGAACAUAUGUGUAAGUAACUGUGCACAUCUUGACGGUACCUAAUCAGAAAGCCACGGCUAACUACGUG
RNAcentral lists this ribosomal RNA (497 nucleotides) under uncultured bacterium. RNAcentral's name for it is "partial 16S ribosomal RNA". It matches the Rfam family "Bacterial small subunit ribosomal RNA", at positions 28 to 507 of the family's 1533-position model. The record is from RNAcentral.